This 497-nucleotide ribosomal RNA is filed under the name uncultured bacterium. RNAcentral's name for it is "partial 16S ribosomal RNA". It matches the Rfam family "Bacterial small subunit ribosomal RNA", at positions 28 to 507 of the family's 1533-position model. The record is from RNAcentral.
GAUGAACGCUGGCGGCGUGCCUAAUACAUGCAAGUCGAGCGAACGGACGAGAAGCUUGCUUCUCUGAUGUUAGCGGCGGACGGGUGAGUAACACGUGGAUAACCUACCUAUCAGACUGGGAUAACUUCGGGAAACCGUAGCUAAUACCGGAUAAUAUUUUGAACCGCAUGGUUCAAAAGUGAAAGACGGUCUUGCUGUCACUUAUAGAUGGAUCCGCGCUGCAUUAGCUAGUUGGUAAGGUAACGGCUUACCAAGGCAACGAUGCAUAGCCGACCUGAGAGGGUGGUCGGCCACACUGGAACUGAGACACGGUCCAGACUCCUGCGGGAGGCAGCAGUAGGGAAUCUUCCGCAAUGGGCGAAAGCCUGACGGAGCAACGCCGCGUGAGUGAUGAAGGUCUUCGGAUCGUAAAACUCUGUUAUUAGGGAAGAACAUAUGUGUAAGUAACUGUGCACAUCUUGACGGUACCUAAUCAGAAAGCCACGGCUAACUACGUG